This 370-nucleotide ribosomal RNA is filed under the name uncultured organism. Its description in RNAcentral is "bacterial SSU rRNA". It matches the Rfam family "Bacterial small subunit ribosomal RNA", at positions 526 to 896 of the family's 1533-position model. The record is from RNAcentral.
CGUAGGAGGCAAGCGUUAUCCGGAUUUACUGGGCGUAAAGGGCGUGCAGGUGGUUUUCUAAGUGGUGCGUGAAAGCGCUCGGCUCAACCGGGCGAGGCCGUGCCAAACUGGGGGACUAGAAACAGGCAGAGGAAAGUGGAGUUCGGGGUGUAGUGGUGAAAUGCGUAGAGAUCCCGAGGAACUCCUGUGGCGAAGGCGACUUUCUGGGCCUGCUUUGACACUCAGACGCGAAAGCAUGGGGAGCGAACGGGAUUAGAAACCCCGGUAGUCCAUGCCGUAAACGAUGUCCACUGGGCGUUUGCCUCGCAAGAGGUGAGUGCCGCAGCUAACGCGCUAAGUGGACCGCCUGGGGAGUACGACCGCAAGGUUA